AUUUAAUAUGGAAUAGAUCAUGCACGUGCAAGCAAAACUCGGUCUCAAAUAAAAGGUCUCAAGAAUCUAAAGUGGAGUGCUAAAUUGAAAUGCUUACGGUGGAAUCCAUCACAAUCAAAUGCAAAAAUCACAAAAGAGAAAAACUAUCACAGAAAUUAUUUAUUAUGAUUAAAUAACAAAAUUAUCUAAGAAAAACUGAAUCAAAUGAAACCAAGACUAUGAAUUCUUCCAAGAUUAUUAAGCUUUCAUGACAUUGGGAAUUAUCCAUUGAAAUUUGUCCACAAUUCACGUAAAAACAUACCGAAGCGAAUUAUCAUGUAAAAGGGAUCCAAUUGCAAACAUUAAUCAAUCAUGUGAGCCCAAUUAGAACAUUUAAGAACUUUAAAGGUUCAAGAAUGAUGAAAAGGUCAAGUCAUGGUUCAGAUUGCAAAUACUUUAGGACUCAAUUGCAAGAAAUUAAAGCAUAAUUGGGUCACAGUGCAACAAAGGGGAACUUAGGGGAUCAAAGUGCAAUUUUUGAAGUUAUUUUCAUGCAAAAACCAUGCAAUCACGUAGAAGGCCUUCUGCAAUUCUGGUUUCCUUUCCUAUAUGACAUGCUGUAUUUCAUUAUUAACCAAAUGCAUCACCAAACAAACAUCAACAACCACAAAACAUCACUCCUAAUCAUCAACCAAUUCGAGUGACAGUUUCAUUACAAGACUAAAACAGAAAAUCUGGAUCGGUGGCUACCAGAGAUACAAGAAAUAUCAACCAAAGAAAGGAGUAAAGUGCUGCAAUUUUCCAGUUGCAGCUUUGCCGCCACUUUCCUUGAUGCUUUGGAUCAAAACAUGCAACUUCGUCAAUCAUUUUGCACAAGAUUUAACUAGCAAAUUGGAUGAAUAAAACCC
RNAcentral lists this long non-coding RNA (887 nucleotides) under Coffea arabica (coffee). RNAcentral describes it as "long non-coding RNA (CARA_LNC008097)". The record is from RNAcentral. Lineage: Eukaryota; Viridiplantae; Streptophyta; Magnoliopsida; Gentianales; Rubiaceae.